GUGGGGAAUAUUGGACAAUGGGCGAAAGCCUGAUCCAGCCAUGCCGCGUGUGUGAAGAAGGUCUUCGGAUUGUAAAGCACUUUAAGUUGGGAGGAAGGGCAGUAAGUUAAUACCUUGCUGUUUUGACGUUACCAACAGAAUAAGCACCGGCUAACUUCGUGCCAGCAGCCGCGGUAAUACGAAGGGUGCAAGCGUUAAUCGGAAUUACUGGGCGUAAAGCGCGCGUAGGUGGUUCAGCAAGUUGAAGGUGAAAUCCCCGGGCUCAACCUGGGAACUGCGUCCAAAACUACUGAGCUAGAGUACGGUAGAGGGUAGUGGAAUUUCCUGUGUAGCGGUGAAAUGCGUAGAUAUAGGAAGGAACACCAGUGGCGAAGGCGACUACCUGGACUGAUACUGACACUGAGGUGCGAAAGCGUGGGGAGCAAACAGGAUUAGAAACCCGAGUAGUCC
RNAcentral lists this ribosomal RNA (450 nucleotides) under uncultured bacterium. Its description in RNAcentral is "partial 16S ribosomal RNA". It matches the Rfam family "Bacterial small subunit ribosomal RNA", at positions 354 to 796 of the family's 1533-position model. The record is from RNAcentral.